Molecule: transfer RNA, 73 nt
Filed under: bacterium
Lineage: Bacteria
Also listed under: 3 other names
Description: tRNA-Cys
Rfam family: tRNA
About the family: Transfer RNA (tRNA) molecules are approximately 80 nucleotides in length. Their secondary structure includes four short double-helical elements and three loops (D, anti-codon, and T loops).
Source: RNAcentral
GGCGGCGUAGCCAAGAGGUUAAGGCGACGGUCUGCAAAACCGUUAUUCAGCGGUUCGAAUCCGCUCGCCGCCU